This 476-nucleotide ribosomal RNA is filed under the name uncultured bacterium. Its description in RNAcentral is "bacterial SSU rRNA". It matches the Rfam family "Bacterial small subunit ribosomal RNA", at positions 28 to 507 of the family's 1533-position model. The record is from RNAcentral.
GAUGAACGCUGGCGGCGCGCUUAAGACAUGCAAGUCGAACGGAACUUAGCCGAAUGUUUACAUGAGGCGAAAGUUUAGUGGCGGACGGGUGAGUAACACGUGAGCAACCUGCCUUCGAGAGUGGGACAACAGAGGGAAACUUCUGCUAAUACCGCAUAUGACCACAGUACCGCAUGGUACAGGGGUGAAAGGAGCAAUCCGCUGAAAGAUGGCCUCGCGUCUGAUUAGAUAGUUGGUGAGGUAACGGCUCACCAAGGCGACGAUCAGUAGCCGGUCUGAGAGGAUGAACGGCCACAUUGGGACUGAGAUACGGCCCAGACUCCUACGGGAGGCAGCAGUGGGGAAUAUUGGGCAAUGGGGGAAACCCUGACCCAGCAACGCCGCGUGAAGGAAGAAGGCCUUCGGGUUGUAAACUUCUUUUACCAGGGACGAAGAACGUGACGGUACCUGGAGAAAAAGCGACGGCUAACUACGUG